RNAcentral lists this ribosomal RNA (427 nucleotides) under uncultured archaeon. RNAcentral describes it as "bacterial SSU rRNA". It matches the Rfam family "Archaeal small subunit ribosomal RNA", at positions 474 to 903 of the family's 1478-position model. The record is from RNAcentral.
UACCAGCUCUUCGAGUGGUGUGGAUGUUUAUUGGGCCUAAAGCAUCCGUAGCUGGCUGGACAAGUCCCCUGUUAAAUCCACCGAUUUAAUCGUUGGAGUGCGGGGGAUACUGUUCGGCUAGGGGACGGGAGAGGCAGACGGUAUUUUCGGGGUAGGGGUGAAAUCCUAUAAUCCCGGGAAGACCACCAGUGGCGAAGGCUGUCUGCUAGAACGCGCCCGACGGUGAGGGAUGAAAGCUGGGGGAGCGAACCGGAUUAGAUACCCGGGUAGUCCCAGCUGUAAACGAUGCAGGCUAGGUGUUUGGGCGGCCACGUGCCGCUCUAGUGCCGCAGGGAAGCCGUUAAGCCUGCCGCCUGGGGAUACGGCCGCAAGGCUGAAGCUUAAAGGAUUGGGCGGGGAGCACCACAAGGGGUGAAGCUUGCGGUUU